GGGCACUGGGCACUGGGCACUGGGCAGUGGGCAGACGGUGGGAGCAGAUGGGAAACGUGGUCGUUUGGAUGCCGGUGGGGACACGUGCCCGCGUUCGGAUGUACGGAGACACGUGCGAGAAGCUCGGACCGCUGCCCACAACAAAGAGUCGCCUUUCGUUACAGGAGUCGACUUGGUAACUUGGUUUUUUCUCUUCUCUCUCUCUCCGAUAAUAUACCAUCUUUGAUUACUUUGAACAUCUUAAAAAAAUAUUUAUGGAUAAACUUUUGGUCUCUUUUAUUCAAUCGUUACUAUUUUUUACAAAUC
This 306-nucleotide long non-coding RNA is filed under the name Ananas comosus (pineapple). Its description in RNAcentral is "long non-coding RNA (ACOM_LNC014386)". Lineage: Eukaryota; Viridiplantae; Streptophyta; Magnoliopsida; Poales; Bromeliaceae. The record is from RNAcentral.